Molecule: ribosomal RNA, 482 nt
Filed under: uncultured bacterium
Lineage: Bacteria
Description: partial 16S ribosomal RNA
Rfam family: Bacterial small subunit ribosomal RNA
Source: RNAcentral
AUUGAACGCUGGCGGCAUGCCUUACACAUGCAAGUCGAACGGUAACGGGCCUUCGGGUGCCGACGAGUGGCGAACGGGUGAGUAAUACAUCGGAACGUGCCCGAUCGUGGGGGAUAACGAGGCGAAAGCUUUGCUAAUACCGCAUACGAUCUACGGAUGAAAGCAGGGGACCGCAAGGCCUUGCGCGGGCGGAGCGGCCGAUGGCAGAUUAGGUAGUUGGUGGGAUAAAAGCUUACCAAGCCGACGAUCUGUAGCUGGUCUGAGAGGAUGAUCAGCCACACUGGGACUGAGACACGGCCCAGACUCCUACGGGAGGCAGCAGUGGGGAAUUUUGGACAAAGGGCGCAAGCCUGAUCCAGCCAUGCCGCGUGCAGGAUGAAGGCCUUCGGGUUGUAAACUGCUUUUGUACGGAACGAAAAGCCUUCUUUUAAUACAGGAGGGUCAUGACGGUACCGUAAGAAUAAGCACCGGCUAACUACGUG